AGAACGAACGCUGGCGGCAGGCUUAACACAUGCAAGUCGAACGCUCGUAGCAAUACGGGAGUGGCAGACGGGUGAGUAACGCGUGGGAACAUACCCUCCGGUUCGGAAUAGCUCAGGGAAACUUGGAUUAAUACCGGAUACGGCCGAGAGGCGAAAGAUUUAUCGCCGGAGGAUUGGCCCGCGUUCGAUUAGCUAGUUGGUGAGGUAACGGCUCACCAAGGCGAUGAUCGAUAGCUGGUCUGAGAGGAUGAUCAGCCACAUUGGGACUGAGACACGGCCCAAACUCCUACGGGAGGCAGCAGUGGGAAUUUGCGCAAUGGGGGAAACCCUGACGCAGCAACGCCGCGUGGAGGAUGAAGCCCCUUGGGGUGUAAACUCCUUUCGACCGGGAAAAUAAUGAUGGUACCGGUGGAAGAAGCACCGGCUAACUCUGUGCCAGCAGCCGC
Molecule: ribosomal RNA, 446 nt
Filed under: uncultured bacterium
Lineage: Bacteria
Description: SSU rRNA
Rfam family: Bacterial small subunit ribosomal RNA
Source: RNAcentral